Molecule: long non-coding RNA, 1673 nt
Organism: Cercocebus atys (sooty mangabey)
Lineage: Eukaryota; Metazoa; Chordata; Mammalia; Primates; Cercopithecidae
Exons: 5
Source: RefSeq, a predicted model, not a curated record
AAAACGAUGUGCUUGUUUAAAAUAUAAAGAAGCAAACAUUCUUAGAGAGAGGAAGCGGGAGUGCAGGAGCAAUUCCAGUGGUCUAAGUAGGCACAACAGGUGGGUUCUUCCAGUGUGGCAAUCGGCACGACACUAACAGCAGCAGGAUUUCCAGUUGUUUCACCUUCUCCAGCCGACAACUAUCACUUUUUCUGAAUUCCAAAAAAAUCCCAGAGGAUAAAAGAACUGGAAACUGGAGUAUGGUGGAGAAUUAUAGUGUGCCUUGCAUCCGGAGACUAAAUCCCAGUGAAAACUUCUGAGGAGACAUGGCAAAUACUAGAGGGAGGAAGAAGUCAUGAACAACUUGCUGGAUGAGAAAACUGAGUUUGCUGGACAGACCACCAGUCCCAAAUCUGGAAAGGUUGAUACAUCUAAAGAGACACUGCUGAGAUGUGCUUAACCUGGAGCAGAACUUGCUGGGGCCAUAACAGAACACAAAAAAUAAUCUGGAGAUGGAGCACAAAAUAAACUGGAUAAGCAUGAGGAAUUUGAGAAAUUAAGAUCAUGUGAGAGCUAAGAGGAUUACAUCUGCUACCAUCUUUGCGGCUUUGGAAGAUUUCAGCUAAAAGGAAAACUGUCAUUAAUUUUUGCAAGUCUGAGAGUGGGCAGAUUUAGAUUCAGGAAAUGAAACUAAUAAUUUUUGAAGUUGUGUGAACUUAACAAGACUUUUGUCCAUUAUAAAGAACCUUAAUUCAGUUUACCAACCCAAGCUCAGUGCAUUUGACCAAAUACACUGAUCCCCUAUAAAAUGAUGCUAGGCUUCUCUGUACCAAAAUAAAUCAAGGACUCAAUUAAAUGAAAACAGAUUACUUCAUGUCUCCAAGCCAAAUACAUUUAGUUCUUUAAGAUGCCCAUUUAAGUGUGAAGGAAUUAGAGGAGGUAGUCAGGGAAUAAGUCUCUUCUAAAAUCUCUAGUUAGAGGACAGCUACAUUUCUUUCAAUUAAAAUUAAAAAAAAAAUAAAGAUCAUCUCCUCCUUCAGCUGUGCUGGCAAUCUGAAUAGUUAAUGCUUCUCUUUGCUCUAAAUUAUGCUCAUUCUUAUCCUUAGCCAUCAGUAGCAAAAACAUAACUUGGAGACAUAUUGAUGGGAGAUAAUUUCACCAUAAAAUGUAUUUGGACACACAAUUAAAAAUAUAAAGUCUUUUUAGCCCAAAGGCAAAUAAACAACUAACCAUAAAACCAAUGCUCUAUGAACCCACAGACACAAAAAAUAAUUAUUUUCCUAUCACUAAGCCAAUAUUUAAAACUAUUAAUUGAUCUCUCUUAGCCUCCCUUGCCAUUUAAGAUAAGGUCUGUGUCUUCAUCCAACUUAAUGUUGUAAAAGCUAGUUAAAUCGAUAAAUUACUAAGACUCUCUUUUUUACUGCUCUAGUUAAGGGUUUGAUUGUUUGUAUUUUAAUUCUAUUUGCAUUCAUGCAAAAAAUAAAUCUCACCGUACUUCUACAACAGUUUUUACUUAUCUUUUUUCCAAGUUACUUCUAUACUAGCCUAAAAAUCCUGGAAACUCAGCAUCAGUGGAUUUAGAAGUCACCUAUUCCUGCAUACUAUAUAAUAGGCCACCUGAUUUUACCAUAAUGGAUUUCAGCUUUUCAAUUAUGGAAUAUCUGUGCUAAGAGAGAGAAUGUGGUAUAAUAAAA